Non-coding RNA from Acanthosepion pharaonis, 113 nucleotides. The record is from the annotation of a GenBank genome assembly. NCBI's taxonomy places the organism in Eukaryota, Metazoa, Mollusca, Cephalopoda, Sepiida, Sepiidae.
UACGGACACAUCACGUUGAAUCAUCGGGUUCCGUACGAUCGCUGAAUUUAAGAAAGCUCGUGUCUGGUCAGUACUUAGAUGGGUGACCGCUUGGGAAUACCAGGUGCUGUAAG